GUGUAUAUGAGUUCAUUUAUCACUAUUGUUUUAUACACUAUUAUGUAUGUCUCACUAUUAUGUAUGGUACAACACAAGUGCCCCUCAUAGUGAACUACCUGCAGUAAAGGUGAAGUGUGUAAUUUAUUUGCAAAACCUGAUUUUUACACUUUUUGAACUUGUGUGUCUAACUGUUUAGUCAGAAAGUGUUCAACAUCCAGAAUAUUACACGCUUCACCUUUAAAUUCUUACAUAUGCUCACACAAGCAUCCAAACAGCCUCCUUUACACACACACACACUGAUUUUGUUUGGUGCUUGUAAUGGUCUGUAUCACACUGCCAAACACACAAUGUUGAUACUCGGUGCCCAUUCCUGUCUCCAGGAUGCGUAUUAGUGAGAAACAAGAGAAACAGAUGAGAUACAGACAAUAAUGGAGAGAGAGAUAAACUGAGGAGAGAAUCUCAUGAAGACAUGGCCAAGUAAUAUUUCACCACAAAAUCAAAAAUAAAUAAAAGAAAUAAUGAUCAUAAAUGGCCCAAAUAUUAUUUUGAAUGUUUUUAAUUGGAUUUUGAGGGUAGAACAUAGUGUCAUGAUAUAAAAAAUUGACCACUUUAAGAUAUAAAAUGUAAUAUUUAAUUAUAUUAAUUUUAUACGGAAUUAUAUAAUUCAUAUUCCAAAUAUUAUUUCAAAUAUUAUUAAUUGAUUUUAAGGUGAAAUAUGAGCUGAAUGUGCUCUUGACAGACAAAGAUGUUUGUAUGUUUGGCUU
This is a long non-coding RNA of Carassius carassius (crucian carp), 746 nucleotides long. RefSeq lists it as uncharacterized. The transcript has 3 exons. The record is from RefSeq and is a predicted model, not a curated record. NCBI's taxonomy places the organism in Eukaryota, Metazoa, Chordata, Actinopteri, Cypriniformes, Cyprinidae.